UUGGAGAAUCUGAUGAUUAUGUGUGUUGGGGAUGUUCCUUUCGUGGAGUAUCUUCCUGGAGUUCUCUGGAUUUCCUGAAUUUGAAUGUUGGCCUCUCUAGCUAGGUUAGGGAAUUUCUCAUAGAUGAUAUCCUGAAAUGCGUUUUCCAAAUUGGUUCCGUUUUCCCCAUCUCUUUCAGGGACACCAAUCAGUCUUAGAUUCGCUCUCUUUACGUGAUCCCAUAUUUCUCGGAGGUUUUGUUCAUUGCUUUUCAUUCUUUUUUCUCUAUUCUUGUCUGCCAGUCUUAUUUCAGAAAGCCAGUCUUCAAGCUCUGAAAUUCUUUCCUCCGCUUUGUCUAUUCUGCUAUUAGUACUUGUGAUUGCAUUAUGAAAUUCUUGUAGUGUGUUUUUUCAGUUCCGUCAGGUUGGUUACAUUCUUCUCUACAUGGGCUAUUUUGUCUGUCAGCUCCUGCAAUGUUUUAUCAUGAUUUUUAGCUUGCUUGCAUUGGGUUACAAUGUACUCUUUUAACUCAGUGAAGUUCAUUUCUAUCCAUAUUCUGAAUUCUACUUAUGUCAUUUCAGCCAUCUCAGCCUCAGCCCAAUUCCGAACCCUUGCUAGAGAGGUGAUGCAGUCAUUUGGAGGAAAGAGGGCACUCUGGCUUCUUGAGUUUUCAGCAUUCUUGCACUGAUUCUUUCUCAUCUUUGUGGGCUUAUCUACCUUCAGUCUUUGAGGUUGCUGACCUUUGGAUUUUUUUUUUCUUUUAACAGUCUGGCCAUGUUUCUGUAGGGCUGCUGUACUUUGCUGGGCUUCUUCUCCAGUUCCUAGUCUCCUUGGAUUUUCCAGUACCUGGAGCUAUCACCAGUGAAGGCUGUGAAACAGCAAAGAUGUCAGCCUGCCUCUUCCUCUGGGAGCUCCGGCCCAGCGAGGUACAGACCUGUUGCCAGCCCAAAUGCGCCUGCAGGACAAGGCUGGAGACCCUGGUUGGGAGGUCUCACCCAGUCAGGAGGAACGGGAUCAGGGAACUGCUUAAAGAAGCAGUCUGUCCAUGCUUUCACAGAUCAGCUGUGCUGUGCUGGGGCACUGCUUCCACCCCUGGUUGGUGUGGGCUCUCCAAAGCCUGGAGGCCGGAACAGCUAAGUCGCCCAAACAGCAAAGAUGGUGGCCCCUCCCUCCCUCCGGGAGCUCUGUCCCAGGGAGAAUUCAAAUCUCUGUCAGCCAGAGAACACCAGUAGGGGUUGCUGGAGGCCUUGGUUGAAAAGUCCCACCCAGUGAGGAGGAACAGAUUGGGCACCUGCUUAAAGAAGCAGUCUGGCCAUGCUUCUGAAGAGCAGCUGUGCUGUGCUGUUCUGGGGUACCACUUCUGGGAGCUCUGUCCCAGAGAGCAGCCUGCCCUUCCCCCUGGGACCUCUGUCCCAGGUAGGUGCAACACUGCUGCUGGUGGCUGGCUGGAAUUCCAAACCAGUGGGUCUUAUCCUGUGAGGUGCAGUGGAAGUGGGGCCCGCAGAUCGUGCCGCUUGGCCCCCUGGAUUCAGCCUCUUUCCUAGGGGUAUGUACAGGGGUCUAAUCUCCCGCUUUGCAGGAGUUGCAGUUACUUUUGCUGGGAAACCCAGGGCCGGAGUAUGUAAAGCUGCUGGGUCUCUGCACGUGCUCAAGCGGCUACUCUGCUGAGACUCCAUGUAUCUCUGUGUGUCAGACUGAAGGCCCUGGUGGAGUGGGUUCACCAGGGGAUCUCCUGACCCAAGGGUUGCAAGGAUCCAUGGGAGGAGCGUGGUUUCCCAGGAUCGCACAUUCACUUACGACUUCCCUGGGUGGAGGAGGUUCCUCUGUCUCCAUGUUGCUCCUGGGUGGGCUGUCAUCCUGCCUUGCUUUUCUUCAUUCUCUGUGGAUCGAGUUGUUUCCUUGAUUAGACCCAAUGUGGGUACCUGGAUGUUUCAGUUGAAGGCGCUGUAUUUACUCGCCCCUUUCCUUCCCCUCCAUGAGAACCACUCACCCUAGCUGCUUCUAGUCAGCCAUCUUGGCCACUCCCUCCCCGCCCCCCACCUUUUUUUUUUAAAUGCUUGAAAACUAUUUGCAAAAGAAACCUAGAGAUUCUCAUGGUUCUUUUAAGAUCUUGUUGGAUGGACUGUGAAAGUGGGAUUAUUGUCUAUGAAUGGUCAGCUAGACUGUGUGUGUGUGGAAAGGGUGAGGGAAUUAACAUUUAUUGAGCAAAAGGGCAUGCUAGUUAAAAUCAUUGUCUCUGGGGACAGAUUUUUCUGGGUUUUAAUCCAAACUCUGACACGUAUUAGCCGUGUGACCUCUAUUUUUCAUUUGUAAAAUGGAGAUGGGAUUGUUGCGGGGAUUAAAAGCACUUACAACAGUCCAGGAUAUAGAAAGCACUGUGUAAGAGCUGGCUGUCAUAUAUUAGUCAUCAGUCAUCAUACUUAAUAAUCACAAAAUUGUUAGAAAAUCCUGUGAGGUAGGUAUUUUCCUUACCAUACCCAUAUGAGAAAACUUAAGCAAGGAGAAGUCAAACAAAGUUACCAAAGUCACACAAUUACGGAGUGACAGAGCCUUUAGACGCUGCCUAGUCCAAGGCUUUCAUUUCACAGAAGAGAAAACUGAAGUUCAAAAUAGGAGAGGGACAUGCCUGAAGUCAUUUAGUGAGCCAGUGACAGAACUGGGCCUAGAACUCAGCAGCAGGACUCUUCCUGUCAGUAGUUCUCAAACUUUGUCAUGUGUUACAAUCCUGCAGAGGACUUGCUAAAACAAACUGCUGGUACCCAUGCCUAGAGUUUCUUACUUAGUAGGCGUGGGGUGGGCCUUGAAAAUUUGCAUUUCUAAGGAGUUCUCAAAUGAUGCCACUGCUGGUGGUCUGGGGACCCUACUUUGGGAACCACCACAACACACCAUAAUUCAUACAUCUUUUGUUCUUUUCAUCAUGGACUACACAGUGUGUGACCUACAAACACUUUCAAAGAAAUGGGAACCGGUGAUGAAAACCAAAGAAAAUUACAUAUCUAGCAGCAAGAAGGUACGGUGACUGACCAACAGUCCUGGUUUGUGUGGGACUCUCCUACUUUUAAAAUGGAAAGUCCUGUAGUUCUGGGCACAAGAGGAUGGUUGGUCACUCUAGAUGAAAGCAAACAAAAGUCAGUGUCAGCUAAAUGCCAAACGAAAAAGGACAUACAUACAGAGAAUGUGGUAACUUCUGGUGAAUUUGUUUGAAAAGGACCCAUUCAUUUAUUCUUCCAACACAUCUGUAUUAUAAAACUACUAUCCAUAAGGCACUGUGUUAGGUGCUGUGUUCCUGACCCUACAGAUCCCAUUCCACCAUAGCAAAAGGUAAAAGUGACUCUACAGUGAGCUUGGUAGACAUAGACCCAUGCUUAUAUACUCAGGGACACCUGGAAGAGAUAUAAAAACAGAAACAUCUCACAUAGGAAGUUUUCAAUGCAUCGUGAUCAGGACUCAAAUAAUCCCCUUCUCUUUUUCUUCAGUGUACUAAAGGGAGCACAUUGUUGAGAAGGACCGGUUGCAAAUUUCCAAAAAGGAGAGUAAAAUAAUUAAUGAGUCAAGGUCUCAGGAGAGACAGAAGGCUCACCAUCUAAAUGCAGAAGCAAGAUCAAGAACACGGAAUAACCACAGAGGUGCCUCUACUGAAGAGCAAAUGGGUGUGGUAGAUUGAACUGUAACCCUCAAAAA
RNAcentral lists this long non-coding RNA (3660 nucleotides) under Homo sapiens (human). RNAcentral describes it as "HSALNT0287781". The record is from RNAcentral. Lineage: Eukaryota; Metazoa; Chordata; Mammalia; Primates; Hominidae.